GACGAACGCUGGCGGCGUGCUUAACACAUGCAAGUCGAACGGAAAGGCCUCUUUCGGGGGGUACUCGAGUGGCGAACGGGUGAGUAACACGUGAGUAACCUGCCCUUGACUUUGGGAUAACUUCAGGAAACUGGGGCUAAUACCGGAUAGGAGCUCCUGCUGCAUGGUGGGGGUUGGAAAGUUUCGGCGGUUGGGGAUGGACUCGCGGCUUAUCAGCUUGUUGGUGGGGUAGUGGCUUACCAAGGCUUUGACGGGUAGCCGGCCUGAGAGGGUGACCGGCCACAUUGGGACUGAGAUACGGCCCAGACUCCUACUGGAGGCAGCAGUGGGGAAUAUUGCACAAUGGGUGGGAGCCUGAUGCAGCAACGCCGUGUGCGGGAUGACGGCCUUCGGGUUGUAAACCGCUUUCGCUCAUGACGAAGCUUUGUGUGACGGUAGUGGGUAAAGAAGCACCGGCUAACUACGUG
This 467-nucleotide ribosomal RNA is filed under the name uncultured bacterium. RNAcentral describes it as "partial 16S ribosomal RNA". It matches the Rfam family "Bacterial small subunit ribosomal RNA", at positions 28 to 507 of the family's 1533-position model. The record is from RNAcentral.